AGGAGGGAGGAAAAGACAUUCUGCUUAUGAGUACAUUCCAAAGGAUGAUUGUCUAAAUCAAUAACAUGUUUUCCAUUCAUUAGUAUCAUAGGAUUUGGAGAGGAAUUUUAAUUCAGUCAUCUUAUUUUAGAGAUGAGGAAAUUUCAUUGUAGAGAGAGACCAAGACUUUCUCAAAAUCAUAAGAGGUAGUAAUAGACAGUUAGGAUUCAAAAUUCCCAUUUGAGUUCUAGGAUUCUUUCCAUUACACUCUAUUGGCUAGUUUUUCAAAACCAUGUGGGCCAGAAGCAGGGAUUUUUCACUUGAGAGAUGAGAAGCAAGGAUCAAGUUUUAAAGUGAAUUAAGAUGAAAUGUUCUCAUACUAUUUUACUCAUUUGGAUUUCAAUAUUAGGCAUUGGAGAGUAAACUGAAGAUAAAAUGACAAAUACCUGAUACUCAACAAAUAAAUGGUUGCUAAUUGAUUGAUUGGUUGGAGAACAAAUGUCCUUGACAGGAGAAAGAAAAAAGCCAGGUGGCUCUGUCUAACUAUGUGUCCUGAUUCUCCACACAGAAGGAGUUUUUAAAUAAAUCUUCAUUGGAAACUUAUAUCACCAAAUAUAUUAAAGGUGAAAAAUUAUACUAACAUCACCAGUUGUAUCAUUUACAUUUUGUUUUGUUGUAUUAAAAGAUUAUAUUGAGGUUGAAUGGGGUGUUUGUCACUUGGUAGCAACUUUUGGAUAAUGUAUCUUAUUUUGCUGAUGUUGAGAAACUAAUCAAUUAUAAAUCAGUUAUUCAUAUGACCUUCUUUUGCUAUAUUAUUGGAAAAUGGCAAUGUAUGAAAUAACAUUUAAUUUUGCAUAUAGCUUUCUAAACAUUAUUAAACCAAAGAGAAAAUGUAGACCUCGAACUAGAUGAGUCUAAUAAAAAUGUCACUACUGAAGUAUGACAUGAAGAGUAGUAAUUUCUGAAGAUAAUCUACAUUAUAAAACUGAUUUAAAUAGUAUAGUGCAUUUAUGACAUCUGCUUUUCUUUUAUGCACCAUCUUUGCCAAAAUCCUUCAACAAUUUCUUGUUUUAUUAACUCUUUCAAUUCUACCUUGAUUCUGGGGGAUGGAUUCUAUUUUACAGCUAGGAAAAUAAUAAUAUGAAGGACUGUAAGAUCAUCUCUAAUAUAUGAUUACUGGUACUUUCAUAUUUUGGCUGAAGUUAUCUAUUCAAUGUAAAGGUAAGAAUAAUUUCCUUCUUCCUUAGGUUUGAUGCAAAUAAAUAAUCUGUAAUAUUAUCAGCAUGAAGAACUUCCAGUGUGAGAAACCUUCACUACAAACACAAAUUCUAUUCCAUCUUUGCUUUGGUGUAGGUUAGUGCUAGGCAAUUGUGAUCAGAGGUUAAGUGAUUUAUUAAGUAUCAUGUGUAAGAAAGACAGAAUACUAACCCAGAAUCUUUCUGAUUUCAAGACCAUUAUUAUAGCAAAUAUUUCCCUUAUCAUCAAAUAAAAUAAAUCUAAUUUUAAUGUUUUUUAAUUACUAACGAAAACUUAUCACAUUUCUGAUUCUAAUAGUCAUAUUUGUUUUUCACCUAAAGAAACAAGGCCACUAUACAUUUAGAGUCUCAGUUUGGAAUUAGGAGAAGAUCCUAUUUUAUAUAAGGAAGAGUCAUAAAAUAAAUUUAAAAUUGGAGGGCCAUGAAGAUCAUUAAUUCUAACUUCUUCAUUAAACAUAUGAGGAAAGAGAGGCAAGUGACUUGCUCAAUGUCACAAAGGUAACAAAUAGGAAAGUUAGUGUUAAAAUAUAAGUUCUGUAAAUUAAAAUACAGCAUAUUUCUAUAUAGUUAAAUUUUACAAAGAAAUUUCUUCCAUAAAGGCAAAUAUAUUAAUAUCACAUUAUAAAAACACAACUACUGAACAAAAAAAAAAUUUUAGUCCCAUACAGAACCACCAAAUUCAAUGUUUUGGUCAAAUUAUUUAUUUUUAAACCUAUACAUAGAAGCAUUCAUAAAGGUAUAUGUGUGCAUAUAUAUACAUAUAUAUGGCUUAUAUAUACAUAUAUACAUGCUUACAAAUAUGUAAUUCGAUUCCUAGGUAGAUAGACAGAUAAAACACCUUCAUACUUCUGUUAUUUAAUAAUUAAAUACAUACAGUGGUCAGUGUAUUAUAUUUUUAUUGAUUGAUUUUUUUCUCCUUGAAUUAAAAAUUUAGCGUAUAGAAAGUUUUGAUUCAAAAAGUUCAGAUAUAUAUUGUCCUUUCCUUGAUAUUGUUAAUUUUUUUCUUUCAGUUUCCCUUCUUUCCUUCUCAUCUAAUGCCUUUCAGGACUCAUUCUGACUUUAGUAAUUAGUGAUAUAAUGAUUCACAACACUAUAUACUUUAAAUUUAAUUUAGUUUUGAAUUUAAAUAGUGUUGCUCAGCUUAUUAUAUGUUCAGUGGCCCAUCAUCUCAUUCAUAUUAAUAGUGUCUUCAAUGGAGCAGAUCAUAAAGCCAUUUAUACUUGCCAAUAUUGAUCCCCUCCCCCCAAAUCCUCUAAAGCAAUCUAAUGCCAUGAAGGUCUUAUAGGAUGUUAGGUAUUGCAUUGUUAUGGUGCAGCACUUGGAGAAUUAGUCCUUACUUUAGUUAUAAAUAAGCACAUUGUCCACCCCCCCCACCAUGUUCAUUUCUUUGAUGAUAUAUCUUAAACCACUUAGUGUGACCAAAGCAUGACUGAUAAAAUUUUGCAUCUAUAGAACAGUGAUGGCAAACAUAUGGCACAGGUGCCAAAGAUGGCACACAUAGUGCUCUCUGUGGGCACAUGGCCAACCCCUCUAGAACUCAUUUCUAGAAAAGUAGAGGGGCUGGGAUGGAGCUUCUCCCAUCCCUGUCUCCACUGUCUGAUGACAUUUUUUUCACUUCAAUUCCCACUUUCCACAGAAAUACAAUGGGAGUGCUUUCUCCCUCCCCUGUGUGGGGUAAGGAGGGGUGGGGCAUACCCAGACUGUGGUGGUGGGAAUAACAUGCCACACGGUCUCUGGUGGGGGCAGGCAUGGCACUUGGGAAUGGGGGGAUGGAAUGGGGGUAGGGCCUGGCAUUCCAUCUCUAAAAGGCUUGCCAUCAUAACUACAGAGGUUUCUAUUAUUCGUAGGGUCACCUACAUUUUUCUUUCAUAAAAGAUGGUUCCAUAAUGCAUAAUAAUAUAGCAUAACCAAAAGGACAUUGCUAUUAAAACAUUGGUUCUUAGAUCAACAUCAUCACUGCCUAAAUAUAUCUAGUAAUUUAACAAUAACUAAUAUUCAUAUUUGGAACUAAUAUAUUUGAAGAUUUUAAAUACUCACCUCAAAACCAGAGAGACCUGAGUUCAGGUCUUAGCUUUCAUGAAAAUUGGAUGUGACCUUGACCAAAUCAGUUCACAGCUUAGUGCUCUAGGUAAUGGAAUCAAACAAAUAAAAAUGAUGGUGGAUAUAGAAGUAGCCCCAUGGGCUACAUAUUGCCUUAGUUUUGAGAUGUAAUGUGAUCUAUUUAUAUUGGGGUUUUUUUGUUAAUUAUUUUUCACUUUCAUUUUAAUCUGGUUCUGGAGACUUCAAAGACAUCAGGAGUAUUAGGGGAAGCAUGGAGCCUGGCAUCUUUCCUCUAGGCAACUCUUCCAAGACUCAGUUAUGGAGAAGAUACCCACUCCUGGAAUUGUUAUUUUGUAAGAGAUAAAAAACUAUUGAUUCUGUGAAGGAUUUAUUACAACUACAAAAGACUUGUAAGCAAAUGCAAGAAAAUGGAAGCUUGGAGAUCUGUAAACCAGGAAGAUUCCAAAGGAGAAUGUAGCCAGGAGGAAGACAGUUUGAAUAAGCUGGCACACAAACUGAUUUUAUUCACUUAGGAAAAAGUGAAGAAAAAAGAGUCUCAAGGAAAUGAGACUCUAAGGAAGAAAGCUGACAGAGAAAUUUACUCUAUAGAUUGUCACUACUGGUUUCAACUUGAAGACUUGAGCUUAACUCUGAUGAUCUUUUCAAAUUAUUUACAAUAUUCUCUUAAAGGCAAUACAAUUCUACAUUCUUGAUAUUGAAUUUAUAAUAGAUUAGGGAAACCCAAAAUUCCCUCUAUCCUUAGUCCCCACUCCCUACCCUUUCUUCCUUUAAAAUAAAUCCUUUUACAGUAUUUUGAAGUGAAAUUAGUCUGUUUAAAGCUGGUAUAACUUACCAUCUUUGAGUAGCCAUUAGGAUCAACAGAAGAAAGCAGGAAGUGGAUUAGGGGGUAGGAGAAUUGAGAAUUCAGUCUCUCCUUCACCUUAUUUCUUAGAGUCAUUGUUCCAGCUUUUCCAUUUACCUUAAAUACCCUAGUAAUUAAGCCUCCAAUAUAAUACUGAAGAAAUUUUUGUUUUAUAUGUCAUAUCGUUCAUAUUAGUUUCAUGUCAAAUGGACAUUCUGUGUGGGUACAAAUUAUUAACUAACUAAAUCAAUCAGCAAACAUUUAUUAAGCUCUUGGGUGCUAGGUCUCAAGGUGGGUGCUGGGAAUAAAAAGAGUUCAAAUGGCACAGUCCCUGCCCCAGAAGACCUUUUAAUUUAACCAAGGAAGACAAUAUGUAUAAAUAUAAAGUUUGGGGGAGGAGAGAGUCUACUGAAUCAAGCACUCACUUCACUCCCCUUUAAGCUACUAACAAAUUACUGUGAUCUUGAUACCUUUAUUAGGUGAGAGCAUUUCUUUUGAAUGAAUAA
Non-coding RNA from Monodelphis domestica (gray short-tailed opossum), 4643 nucleotides. NCBI's taxonomy places the organism in Eukaryota, Metazoa, Chordata, Mammalia, Didelphimorphia, Didelphidae. The record is from RefSeq and is a predicted model, not a curated record.